UACGAAGGGGGCUAGCGUUGUUCGGAAUUACUGGGCGUAAAGCGCACGUAGGCGGAUAUUUAAGUCAGGGGUGAAAUCCCAGAGCUCAACUCUGGAACUGCCUUUGAUACUGGGUAUCUUGAGUAUGGAAGAGGUAAGUGGAAUUGCGAGUGUAGAGGUGAAAUUCGUAGAUAUUCGCAGGAACACCAGUGGCGAAGGCGGCUUACUGGUCCAUAACUGACGCUGAGGCGCGAAAGCGUGGGGAGCAAACAGG
This 253-nucleotide ribosomal RNA is filed under the name uncultured bacterium. RNAcentral's name for it is "partial 16S ribosomal RNA". It matches the Rfam family "Bacterial small subunit ribosomal RNA", at positions 524 to 776 of the family's 1533-position model. The record is from RNAcentral.